UGAGGAAUAUUGGUCAAUGGUCGGAAGACUGAACCAGCCAUGCCGCGUGCAGGAAGAAUGUCUUAUGGAUUGUAAACUGCUUUUGUAUGGGAAUAAUAAGGGGCUUGCGAGCCUUGAUGCAUGUACCAUACGAAUAAGGAUCGGCUAACUCCGUGCCAGCAGCCGCGGUAAUACGGAGGAUUCGAGCGUUAUCCGGAUUUAUUGGGUUUAAAGGGUGCGUAGGCGGCGUUAUAAGUCAAUGGUGAAAGACUUGAGCUUAACUCAGGCGAGCCGUUGAUACUGUAGAGCUAGAACAUAGAUGGAGCAGGCGGAAUGAAUCAUGUAGCGGUGACAUGCAUAGAUAUGAUUCAGAACACCGAUCGCGAAGGCAGCUUGCUAAGCUAUAGUUGACGCUGAGGCACGAAAGCGUGGGGAUCGAACAGG
Molecule: ribosomal RNA, 423 nt
Filed under: uncultured prokaryote
Also listed under: 1 other name
Description: bacterial SSU rRNA
Rfam family: Bacterial small subunit ribosomal RNA
Source: RNAcentral